This 390-nucleotide long non-coding RNA is filed under the name Mustela putorius furo (domestic ferret). RNAcentral describes it as "lncRNA (ENSMPUG00000025501.1)". Lineage: Eukaryota; Metazoa; Chordata; Mammalia; Carnivora; Mustelidae. The record is from RNAcentral.
AGUCCAGAAGGACUAUUUUUCCUACCAUAUUAAUGUGACUGGAUGGGAAAUUCAACAAUAAUCCAUCCCUGCCAUGUGCUGUUUUAAAAAGGCCUGGUCCCACCUCCCCAGGCAGAGGGCUAGGUGUAGGACUCAGACCCACAAAGCUUCACCCAGCACCAGGCAGAGAAUUGCAUCAAGGAUGGCUGUGGGUGCAGGGAAUCUUCCUUCUUCAGAUCUCAGGUGUUUACAACCCCCAUGUAAUUCAAGAACUGCUGAGGCUGUAUUUGCUAUAAUUCAGGAAAAGCCUGCCUGUGACAAGAGGAAAGCAAAACAAAUGAUUAAGACAAAGAGAACAGAAUACUUUGAGCUCUGAAUCAGCCAAAUCUGAACCAUCUCCUUGGACAUCGG